Molecule: long non-coding RNA, 410 nt
Organism: Candoia aspera
Lineage: Eukaryota; Metazoa; Chordata; Lepidosauria; Squamata; Candoiidae
Exons: 3
Source: RefSeq, a predicted model, not a curated record
UUUUCUUCAACUCUUUCUAAUUUUGGUUGUGUUGUUUUUUCCCAAUAGCCACUGCAAGGAAGAUUUUAGGUAAUGCUGAUUUUUAGAGAUCUGGAAUUCAACUAUUACUGUCUUCUGACAUCAGCUGGAGGUGUUGCAGGACCAAUUAGAAGGCAAAAAUUCAACUGGAUAUGAAGAUUGCAUUGGUGGAUUCUGGAUCUGAAAACAUAUCCAGGGAUAUUGUUUUGAUGAAUCUCUCCACUCACUGGAAAAGAAGACAACACAGAGUUCCCAAACUACUUGCAAUCUACCUGUGACAAAUUGAAAACAGGCUCACAUCGAAGAAUUUUUCUUUAGCUAGACUAUAGAGUUGAACAUAUAUUGCAUCAAUAGUGUCACCAAUUUCUUUAAUAACUUAAGUUUUUUAACGC